This 492-nucleotide ribosomal RNA is filed under the name uncultured bacterium. RNAcentral describes it as "partial 16S ribosomal RNA". It matches the Rfam family "Bacterial small subunit ribosomal RNA", at positions 29 to 507 of the family's 1533-position model. The record is from RNAcentral.
AGUGAACGCUGGCGGUAGGCCUAACACAUGCAAGUCGAACGGCAGCACAGUAAGAGCUUGCUCGUACGGGUGGCGAGUGGCGGACGGGUGAGGAAUACAUCGGAAUCUACUUUUUCGUGGGGGAUAACGUAGGGAAACUUACGCUAAUACCGCAUACGACCUACGGGUGAAAGCAGGGGAUCUUCGGACCUUGCGCGAUUGAAUGAGCCGAUGUCGGAUUAGCUAGUUGGCGGGGUAAAGGCCCACCAAGGCGACGAUCCGUAGCUGGUCUGAGAGGAUGAUCAGCCACACUGGAACUGAGACACGGCCCAGACUCCUACGGGAGGCAGCAGUGGGGAAUAUUGGACAAUGGGCGCAAGCCUGAUCCAGCCAUACCGCGUGGGUGAAGAAGGCCUUCGGGUUGUAAAGCCCUUUUGUUGGGAAAGAAAAGCAGCAGGUUAAUACCCCGCUGUUCUGACGGUACCCAAAGAAUAAGCACCGGCUAACUUCGUG